UUUGGGAAUCUGAGUAGUUACACUGACUGAGCAGCUGCACCAAUCAGUCUGGAAGGAGGAACCCUUCCCCCAGGCCUGAAUCACCUGGGGACAAGACACACUGAGCAGCUAGCUGAGCCUGGGGAAUUAGUAGAAAAUAUAGCACAUCUGCUACAUUUUGGCUCUGGAAGAAGCCUAAAGCAACAAAACGAAUCAGGUAAUUAGCCCAAAAAUGUGAAUGUUACAUUCAGGCUGUCUCAGAAGUUAGAAAAUACUGUCCUCAGAGCCAGGUUGUCAUUGUAAGCAGAAGCAGGAGCAGUUUCUGUCCUCUGUUUUUCCAAGAUUGUUUACAAAUCAGGGGAAUGUCCUCCAGGACUGUUUGAUAGCAGGGCCUUGAAGGAAAAUUAUUUGCUGCGUUAUAACGUGACUACCUAAUAAGGAAAAGAACAUUUUGAAACUGUUUCCAGUCCAGUUCAAAGUGUAAAAAGCACUGUUUAAAGCAGGACCCCAGGCACAUGGCAUAAAAGCUUGCUUGUCUUGCCUUCCGGGUGGAGGUGCCUGUCUGCCUUUCCUUGAGCAGAGUUCAGAGCUCUGUGACCGCAAAAGGGAUGGGGUGAAAUGCACCACCUUUCAGAAGCAAGGUACGUACCGCAGCUCUCCAGCGAAACAAAUAAUGCCCCAGACUUCAGUCUCAUUAGUGUAUUUUGCAUGAAAUCUUGAAAAAGAUUUCUUUUUCUUCCUUCCUACUUACAUACAAGCCAACAGCUUGUUAAAAGAGCCUGAAAAUAGAUCUGUUUCUCAUAAACACUAGAACCGCAGUCAGCAGAACUGUCGAUAUACGCUAAGAGGGCUACUCACACUCGGUGGGCAUGGUGAUGAUGGUUUCCGUCGUGGCGUGGUAAUCAUCGUCUUCCAAAGAGCCAUCGCUGCUGUCAUCUCUCUGGACAUCGUACUGAUCAAUCAGUUCCCGGAGCGGAGGAGCUUUGGGCAAAAGUUGUCUUAUAGCAUCUUUGCUGAUGUUAGGAGCUGUUUCCAGGCGAAGUUUACUGAGGAUUUGAAUUUUUAUGGCUUCUAUCCUUGAAGAUUUAGUGUUUUGUCUCCAAGUACAUGCAUUACACAGCCGCUCUUUUUCCACAUUUUCUUUUUGCUCACUGUUCUCAUUUAGAUCCACUGGACCAGCGACAAUCAGCAUGAACAGUGAUGCCAAGCAAAGUUUUAAUGCCUGUACAGUCUGAGGGACAACUUGCCACACCAGUGAAUCUUUUAUACUGUAUUCCAAGUGGCUUUUUAUAUUCCAACUUUGAUGAGACAAGUGUCGUCAGGAUCUAUGAUUGGC
Molecule: long non-coding RNA, 1315 nt
Organism: Lutra lutra (Eurasian river otter)
Lineage: Eukaryota; Metazoa; Chordata; Mammalia; Carnivora; Mustelidae
Exons: 3
Source: RefSeq, a predicted model, not a curated record